GACGAACGCUGGCGGCGUGCUUAACACAUGCAAGUCGAGCGGUAAGGCCCUUUCGGGGGUACACGAGCGGCGAACGGGUGAGUAACACGUGGGUGACCUGCCCUCAGCUCUGGGAUAAGCCUGGGAAACCGGGUCUAAUACCGGAUAUGACUCCAUGACGCAUGUUGUGGGGGUGGAAAGCCUUGUGCGGCUGAGGAUGGGCCCGCGGCCUAUCAGCUUGUUGGGUGGGGUGAUGGCCUACCAAGGCGACGACGGGUAGCCGGCCUGA
This 268-nucleotide ribosomal RNA is filed under the name uncultured bacterium. RNAcentral's name for it is "partial 16S ribosomal RNA". It matches the Rfam family "Bacterial small subunit ribosomal RNA", at positions 28 to 295 of the family's 1533-position model. The record is from RNAcentral.